UGAUUGGACAAUGUUGAAUGCUUCAUGACACCAAUUAUAUAAUAGAUGUUCUUGUAUGCUGCUAUAUAAGUAACUCUUACGUGUUAUAACAAAUUUUCUCCACUAUUUAUACCAUUCUUUUUAUUACUCUUUCUUAUUUACGGACAUCAAUUCAAUAUUUGAUGCUAGUUAAACAACACAUUGCUAAUACACUCAAUUACCAACCAUUAACUCAAAAAAAAAGAUGUCAGCAAAUAUUUUCUUAACAAUGGUGUCCACCAAAAUCCUUAUCCAUUUAAAUAAAAAUAUAAAUUCCUCUUUUCGUGAACAGCAACCUUUUACAACCUUUAAUUAUGUCAUUAACAAGGAAACAAGUUUUGAGCCAAUGGCCUUUGACCUGUUGUCACUGUAACCCUUUUUUUUUAAUUUAGACCUUUUCUGUGAUUUCAAAAAAAGUACAAUUGAUGAAGUGUUAGCCUGUAAAUAACGAUUAGGCUGCUAAAUUAUAAAAAUAGCAAGUUUUUUAAAAACUUUUAUAAACUGAUAGUACAUGUAUAUAAAAAAAAAACAGACCUAAAAGUCUUCAUUUCUCAAUUAAAAAGCUGCUUUGUUG
This 592-nucleotide long non-coding RNA is filed under the name Mytilus galloprovincialis (Mediterranean mussel). Lineage: Eukaryota; Metazoa; Mollusca; Bivalvia; Mytilida; Mytilidae. The record is from RNAcentral.